RNAcentral lists this transfer RNA (101 nucleotides) under Acidobacteriota bacterium. RNAcentral's name for it is "Acidobacteria bacterium (rhizosphere metagenome) tRNA-Ala". Lineage: Bacteria; Pseudomonadati; Acidobacteriota. The record is from RNAcentral.
GGGGCGAAUCAAUCGGAUCAAUCAGAUGCGAACGGCAAGGAUGGAAAGUUCCAUCGUUCGCAACGAUGAGGUCGUCGGUUCGAUCCCGACUAGCUCCACCA